UGGAAAAAAAAAUGCAUCCGGAAUCGAACCUGGGCCGCCCGCGUGGCAGGCGAGCAUUCUACCUGUUAAAACUAUUUUACC
Molecule: non-coding RNA, 81 nt
Organism: Cordylochernes scorpioides
Lineage: Eukaryota; Metazoa; Arthropoda; Arachnida; Pseudoscorpiones; Chernetidae
Source: the annotation of a GenBank genome assembly